UGGCCACAGUAAACGCCCUUGCAUCCUAUUGAGUGAGCCAAGGAUAAGCCUAGUCCCUGGCAGGGUGCAGGAUUCUAUCCUGAAAUACACCCCCUCCACUUUCCCCUAUUCCAGUCCACUGGGGCCUCUCCUCCAGGCAAGAAACAUGAUCUCCUUUUGAC
Gorilla gorilla gorilla (western lowland gorilla) is the source of this 161-nucleotide unclassified non-coding RNA. Lineage: Eukaryota; Metazoa; Chordata; Mammalia; Primates; Hominidae. The record is from Ensembl.